Long non-coding RNA from Oncorhynchus keta (chum salmon), 750 nucleotides. RefSeq lists it as uncharacterized. The transcript is spliced from 3 exons. The record is from RefSeq and is a predicted model, not a curated record. Lineage: Eukaryota; Metazoa; Chordata; Actinopteri; Salmoniformes; Salmonidae.
CAAGAAGCAUAACGGGCAACAACCUUAACACACCAGGGUACCGUUACUGUAGGUAGGCUGUGUCACAAAUGGCACCCUAUGGGUUCUGAUCAAGGUAGUGCACUAUGUAGGGUACAGGGUGCCUGGUCAAGGUAGUGCACUAUGUAGGGAACAGGGUGCCUGGUCAAGGUAGUGCACUAUGUAGGGAACAGGGUGCCUGGUCAAGGUAGUGCACUAUGUAGGGAAUAGGGUGCCUGGUCAAGGUAGUGCACUAUGUAGGGAACAGGGUGCCUGGUCAAGGUAGUGCACUAUGUAGGGAACAGGGUGCCUGGUCAAGGUAGUGCACUAUGUAGGGAAUAGGGUGCCUGGUCAAGGUAGUGCACUAUGUAGGGAACAGGGUGCCUGGUCAAGGUAGUGCACUAUGUAGGGAACAGGGUGCCUGGUCAAGGUAGUGCACUAUGUAGGGAAUAGGGUGCCUGGUCAAGGUAGUGCACUAUGUAGGGAACAGGGUGCCUGGUCAAGGUAGUGCACUAUGUAGGGAACAGGGUGCCUGGUCAAGGUAGUGCACUAUGUAGGGAACAGGGUGCCUGGUCAAGGUAGUGCACUAUGUAGGGUAUAGGGUGCCUGGUCAAGGUAGUGCACUAUGUAGGGAACAGGGUGCCUGGUCAAGGUAGUGCACUAUGUAGGGUAUAGGGUGCCAUUAAGGAUGCAUACCAACUGCAUGUAUCACUACGACCUGCUACAAAGUACCAACUACUCUACUGCAAAAGG